Ipomoea nil (Japanese morning glory) is the source of this 367-nucleotide long non-coding RNA. RefSeq lists it as uncharacterized. NCBI's taxonomy places the organism in Eukaryota, Viridiplantae, Streptophyta, Magnoliopsida, Solanales, Convolvulaceae. The record is from RefSeq and is a predicted model, not a curated record. The transcript has 3 exons.
CUUUCACCAUAUCAUUGCUUCUUCUUCGUAGCUAAAUCAGAAGCAACCAAAAAUUGCAGCUAGCACCAUUGCUGAAAUAAUCGAGUUAUGGAUGCGAGACCAUUGCGCUCUGGACCUGCUGAUCCGUCUAUGCUAGAAUUUAAACCAAGGCAUCGAUGCACAUAUAUUUGGGACGAUCCAAACUAUAAUGCCAAACUUAGUGGAUUUAGAUAUGACAGUAAAAUGUAUACUGAUGAAGAACCUCGAGAGCCCCGAAUGAUUGCAUAUUUAAAGGGUUUUUGAAAAGAAGGUGACUUGACAAGAAAAUGAUGUUUUGAGCCAAACAUUGGGUUAUUUGAUCAAGAUUUCAAGUCAUCAUAGCAUGGGG